Small nuclear RNA from Sphaerodactylus townsendi, 191 nucleotides. RefSeq annotates it as U2 spliceosomal RNA. Lineage: Eukaryota; Metazoa; Chordata; Lepidosauria; Squamata; Sphaerodactylidae. The transcript has a single exon. The record is from RefSeq and is a predicted model, not a curated record.
AUCGCUUCUCGGCCUUAUGGCUAAGAUCAAGUGUAGUAUCUGUUCUUAUCAGUUUAAACACUGAUAUGUCCUCUAUUUGAGGACUAUGUAUUAAACAGAUUUAUGGAACUAGGAGAUGGACUAGGGGCUUGCUCCAUCCACUCCAUGCAUCAGCCUGGUAUUGCAGUGUUUCCAGGAAUGGUGCACCUCCC